RNAcentral lists this ribosomal RNA (785 nucleotides) under uncultured bacterium. RNAcentral's name for it is "SSU rRNA". It matches the Rfam family "Bacterial small subunit ribosomal RNA", at positions 72 to 853 of the family's 1533-position model. The record is from RNAcentral.
AAGGUAGCUUGCUACUGGACCUAGCGGCGGACGGGUGAGUAAUGCUUAGGAAUCUGCCUAUUAGUGGGGGACAACAUUCCGAAAGGAAUGCUAAUACCGCAUACGCCCUACGGGGGAAAGCAGGGGAUCUUCGGACCUUGCGCUAAUAGAUGAGCCUAAGUCGGAUUAGCUAGUUGGUGGGGUAAAGGCCUACCAAGGCGACGAUCUGUAGCGGGUCUGAGAGGAUGAUCCGCCACACUGGGACUGAGACACGGCCCAGACUCCUACGGGAGGCAGCAGUGGGGAAUAUUGGACAAUGGGCGGAAGCCUGAUCCAGCCAUGCCGCGUGUGUGAAGAAGGCCUUUUGGUUGUAAGCACUUUAAGCGAGGAGGAGGCUCCUUUAGUUAAUACCUAAAGUGAGUGGACGUUACUCGCAGAAUAAGCACCGGCUAACUCUGUGCCAGCAGCCGCGGUAAUACAGAGGGUGCGAGCGUUAAUCGGAUUUACUGGGCGUAAAGCGUGCGUAGGCGGCUUUUUAAGUCGGAUGUGAAAUCCCUGAGCUUAACUUAGGAAUUGCAUUCGAUACUGGAAAGCUAGAGUAUGGGAGAGGAUGGUAGAAUUCCAGGUGUAGCGGUGAAAUGCGUAGAGAUCUGGAGGAAUACCGAUGGCGAAGGCAGCCAUCUGGCCUAAUACUGACGCUGAGGUACGAAAGCAUGGGGAGCAAACAGGAUUAGAUACCCUGGUAGUCCAUGCCGUAAACGAUGUCUACUAGCCGUUGGGGCCUUUGAGGCUUUAGUGGCGCAGCU